UACGUAGGGAGCAAGCGUUGUCCGGAAUCAUUGGGCGUAAAGAGCUCGUAGGCGGCUUGGUAAGUCGGAUGUGAAACCUCCAGGCUCAACCUGGAGUCGCCAUCCGAUACUGCCAUAGCUAGAGUCCGGUAGGGGCCCACGGAACUCCUGGUGUAGCGGUGAAAUGCGCAGAUAUCAGGAGGAACACCGGUGGCGAAGGCGGGUCUCUGGGCCGUUACUGACGCUGAGGAGCGAAAGCGUGGGGAGCGAACAGG
Molecule: ribosomal RNA, 254 nt
Filed under: uncultured bacterium
Lineage: Bacteria
Description: partial 16S ribosomal RNA
Rfam family: Bacterial small subunit ribosomal RNA
Source: RNAcentral